GACGAACGCUGGCGGCGUGCUUAACACAUGCAAGUCGAACGGAAAGGCCCUGCUUUUGUGGGGUGCUCGAGUGGCGAACGGGUGAGUAACACGUGAGUAACCUGCCCUUGACUUUGGGAUAACUUCAGGAAACUGGGGCUAAUACCGGAUAGGAGCUCCUGCUGCAUGGUGGGGGUUGGAAAGUUUCGGCGGUUGGGGAUGGACUCGCGGCUUAUCAGCUUGUUGGUGGGGUAGUGGCUUACCAAGGCUUUGACGGGUAGCCGGCCUGAGAGGGUGACCGGCCACAUUGGGACUGAGAUACGGCCCGGACUCCUGCGGGAGGCAGCAGUGAGGAAUAUUGCACAAUGGGCGGAAGCCUGAUGCAGCAACGCCGCGUGCGGGAUGACGGCCUUCGGGUUGUAAACCGCUUUCGCCUGUGACGAAGCGUGAGUGACGGUAAUGGGUAAAGAAGCACCGGCUAGCUACGUG
RNAcentral lists this ribosomal RNA (468 nucleotides) under uncultured bacterium. Its description in RNAcentral is "partial 16S ribosomal RNA". It matches the Rfam family "Bacterial small subunit ribosomal RNA", at positions 28 to 507 of the family's 1533-position model. The record is from RNAcentral.